Molecule: transfer RNA, 73 nt
Filed under: Camelus bactrianus (Bactrian camel)
Lineage: Eukaryota; Metazoa; Chordata; Mammalia; Artiodactyla; Camelidae
Also listed under: 2 other names
Rfam family: tRNA
About the family: Transfer RNA (tRNA) molecules are approximately 80 nucleotides in length. Their secondary structure includes four short double-helical elements and three loops (D, anti-codon, and T loops).
Source: Rfam by way of RNAcentral
GAGGGUAUAGCUCAAGUGGUAGAGCACAUGCUUAGCAUGCACGAGGCCCUGGGUUCAAUCCCCAAUGCCUCCA